AGCGUCCGUAGCCGGCCCAGCGUGUUCUCUGUUAAAUCCGGCGGCCUAACCGCCGGGCUGCGGAGAAUACUGCUGGGCUUGGGGGUGGGAGAGGCCGACGGUACUCCCGGGGUAGGGGUAAAAUCCACUGAUCCCGGGAGGACCACCAGUGGCGAAGGCGGUCGGCCAGAACACGCCCGACGGUGAGGGACGAAAGCUGGGGGAGCGAUCGGGAUUAGAUACCCCGGUAGUCCCAGCCGUAAACGAUGCGGGCUAGGUGUCACGCCAGCUACGGGCUGGCGUGGUGCCGAAGGGAAACCAUUAAGCCCGCCGCCUGGGGAGUACGGCCGCAAGGCUGAAACUUAAAGGAAUUGGCGGGGGAGCACCACAAGGGGUGGACGUUGCGGCUUAAUUGGAGUCAACGCCGGAAAGAGCCGCGCGUGCGGUUACAAGGCUCCCGGAGACCUUACCGGGGGCGACAGCAGGAUGAAGGCCAGGUUGAAGGCCUUGCCGGACGAGCUGAGAGGAGGUGCAUGGCCGUCGCCAGUGCGUGCCGUGAGGUGUCCUGUUAAUUCAGGCAACGGACGAGACCCGCGCCCUCAGUUGCCAUCGGGCCGAAAGGCGCCGGGCACUCUGAGGGGACUGCCCCCGAAAGGGGGAGAAAGGAGCGGGUCACGGCAGGUCAGUAUGCCCCGAAUCCCCCGGGCCGCACGCGACGUUCAAUGGUGGGGACAAUGGGUUGCGACCCCGAAAGGGGGAGCCAAUCCCUAAACCCCACCUCAGUUGGGAUCGAGGGUUGCAACUCGCCCUCGUGAACGCGGAAUCCC
RNAcentral lists this ribosomal RNA (806 nucleotides) under uncultured Archaeoglobi archaeon. RNAcentral's name for it is "bacterial SSU rRNA". It matches the Rfam family "Archaeal small subunit ribosomal RNA", at positions 514 to 1291 of the family's 1478-position model. Lineage: Archaea; Methanobacteriati; Methanobacteriota; Archaeoglobi. The record is from RNAcentral.